AACGAACGCUGGCGGCAUGCCUAACACAUGCAAGUCGAACGAGACCUUCGGGUCUAGUGGCGCACGGGUGCGUAACGCGUGGGAACCUGCCCUUAGGUUCGGAAUAACUCCCCGAAAGGGGUGCUAAUACCGGAUAAUGUCUUCGGACCAAAGAUUUAUCGCCUUUGGAUGGGCCCGCGUUGGAUUAGCUAGUUGGUAGGGUAAAAGCCUACCAAGGCGACGAUCCAUAGCUGGUCUGAGAGGAUGAUCAGCCACACUGGGACUGAGACACGGCCCAGACUCCUACGGGAGGCAGCAGUGGGGAAUAUUGGACAAGGGGCGAAAGCCUGAUCCAGCAAUGCCGCGGGAGUGAUGAAGGCCUUAGGGUUGUAAAGCUCUUUUACCCGGGAUGAUAAUGACAGGACCGGGAGAAUAAGCUCCGGCUAACUCCGU
RNAcentral lists this ribosomal RNA (432 nucleotides) under uncultured bacterium. RNAcentral describes it as "partial 16S ribosomal RNA". It matches the Rfam family "Bacterial small subunit ribosomal RNA", at positions 29 to 506 of the family's 1533-position model. The record is from RNAcentral.